This is an RNA transcript of Tigriopus californicus, 2410 nucleotides long. It is a transcript of the gene named non-structural maintenance of chromosomes element 4 homolog A-like, with no coding region annotated. Lineage: Eukaryota; Metazoa; Arthropoda; Copepoda; Harpacticoida; Harpacticidae. The record is from RefSeq and is a predicted model, not a curated record. The transcript has 9 exons.
UAGUUAUGUCAAUUCCCCUGCCAUACACCAAAUCUACCCUGAUUUAGUUUCCCUUGUGUGUCAUUUCUCUGCCAUCAUCUCUCUACGAAUGGGCGGGAAAACGUCAAACCCACCCAACAAUAACAAAUAUACCCCAAGGAUUCUGGGCAAACGUCGACUAACAUAGCAGAAUUCCGAAUUCCGCCUCCCAGGAGUUAAUCAUGGCUCAAAAUGGAGCCUUGAACGAGGUAGAUCCGAAUACACUCCGGCGAGAUAAAAGGUCAGCGGAGACCUCGUCGCAAUCUAAGGCGGAGCAUGAGGAGCGGAAUCUGACCGAGUUGGUCGAGCAAAGUCAACACGAACGGAAAGAACUUCGAGACCAAUAUCGCGACUUGAUGAAUUGGACCACCCAUGAGGGCGAAGAAACUUUACUCCAAGAUCAUCAAAAUAGGGAAACGGACGAGAGAUUGGAACAUGUUAUAGACCAGGCGGAUGCGUUAUAUUCGCGUGUGAAACACGCCGAGGAGGCGGUUUUAGAUGCCCAGAUUUGUAAACAGAUCUCGCGGUUGUGCCGUCAACGGGCGGAAGGCUUUUCCACCAAUGUCCAAGGGUUUCACGCCCAAGAAUAUGCGAACAAACUGAUCUCGGUCAUGAAUGGGUCCAAGGACGAGAAUGGCAACGCCAUCAUUCCACAACUAAACUGGGUGCGAUUAGGUCAAGCCACCAAGGGCCUGUUUGCUCGGGGCCCAUCUUUACAGUACAUGAAUGGGGCUCUAACCGAAACCAAGAUUACGAACAAAACUCAUCUCGUCAAACAAAAGCGCAUGUCUCAAAAGGAAAACAUUCACGUCACGAAGUCCACGGCUCUGAAGGAGACUGAAAAGUCCGACAAUUUGACCGAAGCAAUGGUUCAAGCUGCUUAUGGCAGCUUGGUCACCUAUUUUAAAGCCAAUGGGAAACGACCCAUUAACUACUUUGAGUUUGUCAUUGACCCCCAGAGUUUCGGAUCGACAGUUGAAAAUGUUUUCCAUGUCUCAUUUCUCGUCAAAGAGAAUCGGGUUCGAUUUUCAAUUCAAAAUCGAAUGCCUUUCAUCGAGCCUGUGAAGAGAAAGACCCUGGAAACGACCCAAAUCGGGGACGAGGGGAACAGCCGAAAUCAGGCAGUGCUUGUGUUGUCCAUGGCUCAAUGGCGCCAAUUGAAGCAACAUCUCAAGAUCACCAAUGCCAUGAUUCCUCGCCGAGGGAUCACCGCCCCCGCCAAGCCAAAAAAGGGCAUGAGAACGGAGUAAAAUAAGGUUCGCCUGGCGCGGACAAACGAGAUCAGCUCAGAGGUGAAAACGAAAAGGCGAGUCAAAAUAUGGCUGCUUCAUCGAAUCAAAAAGUGCACCGAGACUAUGAGAUUGCGAAACUACAAGCAAGGGUUAAAGCACUGGAAUAUGAAAACUCCAUGAUCGUGAGAAUGCUUCAACGAGUGAUCGUGUCAAAUUCUCAAAAUGCCAGUUUCCAGCAACAACCGUCUUACUCGGAAAUGCAAUCCGACCCGAUUUCGUCAUCCCAGGUAACUUUUGAUAGAAACGCUCUCAAAGAGAUCAAUGAUGCGUCGGAAUUUUAUGAUUUGGACGACGACGACGACGAAGAAGAAGAUUAUGAAGACGAAGAGGCCGACGAUGAGGGGCACGAAAACUUUGAAAACUAUGAGGAUUACGAAGAAGAGGAAGAAGACCAUGUUCAUAACGAGGAAGAACAUAAUCCAGCCCCGGUGACAACAUUGGAGGCGGAUGUUCUUAUCAAAGCCUUUGAAAAAGCCAUUCAAACGAGCCAUUGCGAACAAUGAUCGAUUGUUGUCGUGGGAUUGCCUUACUGUGAAAUAAAAAAAUAGAUCGUCAACGUAGCUCAACGUGGUUUUCCAUUCUCUUGUUCUUGGCAUUGAAAUUGAACACUUUGCAUGCUCGUUUGUCCUGCAUUCACUUAAGAAAUCAGAGGCGUGUUCAAUGAUCUGUCGCAAAGUCGGUCGAUAAGUUGUGUUGAGAUCAUGUGGAUUGUCCAUUUGUUUCUUUCGAGUCUGAUCAUGUGGCUCUCAGUUUACCACAUCGAAGGAGCCAAGAUGUCGUCGUCUGAACAAUCUGUGACCAUUGAACUGAAUCCCAACCAUGCGGGGUCAAAUCUGACCAUGCUGACUUUUAAUGAUUCAGAUUCACACGUGGAUGGUUUCGACAAAAAUCGUGCCAUGGGAUUGAACUUUUUAUCCACAGCUUGGUCUCAAGCUUGGAUUGAACUACAUAAACUUUUGCUCAGUGAGCUUCGUAAUUAUUUAGUGGCGGAGCCUGGACAGUCCCAAGGUCCAGGGUUUAAUUCGCUUGUUUUUUUUCAAAACAUUGAAUUUUAGUGUUUUGUAUGUUAUUCGAGUAAUACACACUUAUCAGCAACUACA